This 200-nucleotide ribosomal RNA is filed under the name uncultured bacterium. RNAcentral describes it as "partial 16S ribosomal RNA". It matches the Rfam family "Bacterial small subunit ribosomal RNA", at positions 8 to 213 of the family's 1533-position model. The record is from RNAcentral.
AGAGUUUGAUCAUGGCUCAGGAUAAACGCUGGCGGCGUGCCUAACACAUGCAAGUCGAACGUCCUCUCUCUCUUCGGAGGGAGAGGGAGUGGCGGACGGGUGAGUAACACAUGGGUACCUGCCUCCCAGUGAGGAAUACCCGCGGGAAACCGGGGACAAGACCGCAUAGCCUCCCUCGCCAGAGGGAGGAAAGCCCGGAG